CAGUCGCCGCGGUAAUACGAAGGGGGCUAGCGUUGUUCGGAAUUACUGGGCGUAAAGGGCGCGUAGGCGGCCAUUCAAGUUAGAUGUGAAAGCCCUGGGCUCAACCUAGGAAUUGCAUUUGAUACUGUUUGGCUUGAGUUCGGGAGAGGUGAGUGGAAUUCCCAGUGUAGAGGUGAAAUUCGUAGAUAUUGGGAAGAACACCAGUGGCGAAGGCGGCUCACUGGACCGACACUGACGCUGAGGCGCGAAAGCGUGGGGAGCAAACAGGAUUAGAUACCCGAGUAGUCCCUGUCUCUUAUAA
This 301-nucleotide ribosomal RNA is filed under the name uncultured bacterium. RNAcentral describes it as "partial 16S ribosomal RNA". It matches the Rfam family "Bacterial small subunit ribosomal RNA", at positions 509 to 809 of the family's 1533-position model. The record is from RNAcentral.